This 181-nucleotide unclassified non-coding RNA is filed under the name uncultured Serendipitaceae. RNAcentral's name for it is "sequence contains ITS2". The record is from RNAcentral. Lineage: Eukaryota; Fungi; Basidiomycota; Agaricomycetes; Sebacinales; Serendipitaceae.
UACUCUCAAUCCCACGACUUUAUGUUGUGUGAUUGGACUUGGAUCCUGUCGCAGUUGUGACUGAUCCGAAAUGCAUCAGCGUGUGUCUGUCGUGACAAUAAACCGAUUGUUAAAUUUCAUCGGGCUCGCUCUGUCGAGGUUGUCUGGCAAAAGCACAUGCUAAACCCCCUACAUUUUGACA